UGUUAAAAAUUUUAUCAAUUUCUAUUGUUAAAAAACUGACAUAGCUGAUGAAAUAACUAGACAGUUAUACGUGACAUACCACAUAUACCUUAUGCUGAUAUACAUGUACCAAUUUUUAGCAGUAAAAGUGGAAAAAAUCGUUAACA
This is a non-coding RNA of Gossypium arboreum, 146 nucleotides long. The record is from Rfam. NCBI's taxonomy places the organism in Eukaryota, Viridiplantae, Streptophyta, Magnoliopsida, Malvales, Malvaceae.